Molecule: ribosomal RNA, 505 nt
Filed under: uncultured bacterium
Lineage: Bacteria
Description: bacterial SSU rRNA
Rfam family: Bacterial small subunit ribosomal RNA
Source: RNAcentral
AGUUUGAUCAUGGCUCAGGAUGAACGCUAGCGGCAGGCUUAAUACAUGCAAGUCGUGGGGCAGCAGGUUUGUAGCAAUACAGAUGCUGGCGACCGGCAAACGGGUGCGGAACACGUACAGAACCUUCCUUUGAGCGGGGAAUAGCCCAGAGAAAUUUGGAUUAAUACCCCAUAGUAUAAUGAAGUGGCAUCACUUUAUUAUUAAAGAUUUAUUACUCGAAGAUGGCUGUGCGGCUGAUUAGGUAGUUGGUGGGGUAAAGGCCCACCAAGCCUGCGAUCAGUAACUGGUGUGAGAGCACGACCAGUCACACGGGCACUGAGACACGGGCCCGACUCCUACGGGAGGCAGCAGUAAGGAAUAUUGGUCAAUGGAGGCAACUCUGAACCAGCCAUGCCGCGUGGAGGAUGAAGGUCCUCUGGAUUGUAAACUUCUUUUAUAUGGGACGAAAAAGGCUUUUCUAAGUCGUCUGACGGUACCAUAUGAAUAAGCACCGGCUAACUCCGUG